GGAAGGUGGCUCAGUGGUAGAGUGCUUGCCUGAUAUAUAUGAGGCCUGGGGUUUGAUUCCUCAGUUCCA
Molecule: transfer RNA, 69 nt
Filed under: Dipodomys ordii (Ord's kangaroo rat)
Lineage: Eukaryota; Metazoa; Chordata; Mammalia; Rodentia; Heteromyidae
Rfam family: tRNA
About the family: Transfer RNA (tRNA) molecules are approximately 80 nucleotides in length.
Source: Rfam by way of RNAcentral